AGGAAUUGGCGGGGGAGCACUACAACGGGUGGAGCCUGCGGUUCAAUUGGAUUCAACGCCGGAAAGCUUACCGGGUCAGACAGCACUAUGAAGGUCAAGCUAAAGACUUUACCGAAUUCGCUGAGAGGAGGUGCAUGGCCGUCGUCAGUUCGUAUCGUGAGACAUCCUGUUAAGUCAGGCAACGAGCAAGACCCGUGCCCACAGUUGCCAGCAUACCCUCCGGGGUGAUGGGCACACUGUGGGGACCGCCGCUGCUAAAGCGGAGGAAGGUGCGGGCUACGGUAGGUCAGUAUGCCCCGAAUCAUCCGGGCUACACGCGGGCUACAAUGGUUGGGACAAUGGGCACCUACACCGAGAGGUGAUGGUAAUCUCCUAAACCCAGCCUUAGUUCGGAUUGAGGGCUGCAACUCGCCCUCAUGAGGCCGGAAUCCGUAGUAAUCGCGUAUCAAUAUCACGCGGUGAAUACGUCCCUGCUCCUUGCACACACCGCCCGUCAAACCAUGCGAGUGAGGUCUGAAUGAGGGCACGCUUUUUGGCGUGUUCGAAUUUGGGCUUCGCGAGUGGGGUUAAGUCGUAACAAGGUAGCCUCAGUCAGUCAA
RNAcentral lists this ribosomal RNA (599 nucleotides) under uncultured euryarchaeote. RNAcentral's name for it is "bacterial SSU rRNA". It matches the Rfam family "Archaeal small subunit ribosomal RNA", at positions 860 to 1458 of the family's 1478-position model. Lineage: Archaea; Methanobacteriati; Methanobacteriota. The record is from RNAcentral.